AACGAACGCUGGCGGCAUGCCUAACACAUGCAAGUCGAACGAAGGCUUCGGCCUUAGUGGCGCACGGGUGCGUAACGCGUGGGAAUCUGCCCCUCGGUUCGGAAUAACAGUUAGAAAUGCCUGCUAAUACCGGCUGAUGACUUCGGUCCAAAGAUUUAUCGCCGAGGGAUGAGCCCGCGUAAGAUUAGGUAGUUGGUGGGGUAAAGGCCUACCAAGCCGACGAUCUUUAGCUGGUCUGAGAGUAUGAUCAGCCACACUGGGACUGAGACACGGCCCAGACUCCUACGGGAGGCAGCAGUGGGGCAACUUGGACAAUGGGCGAAAGCCUGAUCCAGCAAUGCCGCGUGAGUGAUCAAGGCCUUAGGGUUGUAAAGCAAGGGUACCAGGGAUGAUAAUGACAGUACCUGGAGAAUAAGCUCCGGCUAACUCCGUGCCAGCCGCCGCAGUAA
This 449-nucleotide ribosomal RNA is filed under the name uncultured bacterium. RNAcentral's name for it is "partial 16S ribosomal RNA". It matches the Rfam family "Bacterial small subunit ribosomal RNA", at positions 29 to 523 of the family's 1533-position model. The record is from RNAcentral.